AUGUUGAGGUUGCCAUUCAAAUAUCACCGCCUUUAUCCAGGGGAUACCAUACCUUGCAUUUAUGGACUUCCUAAGAUCCACAAGGAAGGGGUCCCACUCAGACCCAUAGUCAGUAGCAUAAACUCAGCCACUUAUAACACUGCAAAACACCUUGCUACCAUCCUGGCACCUCUCGUGGGGAACACCCCACAUCACAUCAAGAACUCCACCGACUUCACCGACAAGGUCCAGAAACUUACCCUGGAUCCAGAUGAAACCAUGGUGUCCUUUGAUGUAGUCUCUCUCUUCACUUGCAUACCCACUACGGAGGCAGUGGAGACUGUCAGAAAACGACUACAAGAAGACAGCUCCUUGGAAGACAGGACCAACUUCACACCCAAUCAGAUUUGCACACUGUUAGACCUCUGCCUUACCACAACAUACUUCAAAUACAACGAAGGCUUCUACAGACAAAAACAUGGCUGUGCCAUGGGCUCCCCUGUGUCACCUAUUGUAGCCAACCUUUACAUGGAGGAAGUGGAAAGAAAGGCUCUUGGCUCUUUUAAAGGGAGAGUACCCAGCCACUGGUACAGAUAUGUGGACGACACCUGGGUCAAAAUCAAGACACAAGAAGUGGAAUCCUUCACUGCGCACAUUAACGCCGUGGAUAAAAACAUCAAGUUCACCAGGGAAGACACUAAGGACAACUGUUUGCCUUUCCUGGACUGCGCUGUGCACAUUGAAGAGAAUGGCAACCUCAACAUUGAAGUUUACCGGAAGCCCACACACACGGACCAGUAUCUCCUCUUUGACUCCCAUCACCCUCUGGAACACAAACUUGGAGUAAUUAGGACCCUACACCACCGGGCAGAACUUGUUCCCUCUAAGCCUGAAGGGAAAAAGAAGGAACACACACAUGUAAAGGAAGCACUGAAAACAUGUGGUUAUCCUAACUGGGCGUUCAUAAAGUCAGCAAAAAGGCACAGAAAAGAAGAUCAGACACCAGCGAGGGAGGAUAAGAAAGACAGACGCAACAACGUUGUCAUCCCCUAUGUAGCCGGUGUAUCAGAGAAACUCAUGACAUCCCAGUGUACUUCAGACCCAGCAACACACUCAGACACAAACUGGUUCACCCGAAAGACAAAACUCCAAAACACAGACUGA
RNAcentral lists this long non-coding RNA (1143 nucleotides) under Oreochromis niloticus (Nile tilapia). RNAcentral's name for it is "lncRNA (ENSONIG00000043231.1)". Lineage: Eukaryota; Metazoa; Chordata; Actinopteri; Cichliformes; Cichlidae. The record is from RNAcentral.